AGAAAAAGAAGAAGAAAAGCAAACCAAACAAAGCUCGGAUGUCAACAACAACAAAGCUAACCAUGUAGAAGGCGGCGGAAGGAAGAUCAUGGCAGACCCUUGGUUUCAGAAAGUUCCAAAGUACCAGUCGAAGGUCGCAAUUGACUCUCGCUUUAACUGCAUUCACCGAUAAAAACUUUGCCUCCUCUUCCGCACACAAGCUGGUAAGCCUAAGAAGCACAACUCGGAAAGUUCUGCCCCAUUACUAUCGAAUCGAGGAAGAAGAUGAUGAAAGAAAACAGAUGAAGAAGUAAAUGAAGAUCGUGACCGAUGAAAUGUAGAGGAAGUAGAAGAAGAAGGUGAGAACGUUGAAUUGAGGAAAUUGGAUCUCGCGGCAAAGGGAAGCGAGUAGAGUAGUCAGUCGGAGUCAGAGGCGUCGGAAUACUGACAAGGAGGAUGAGGAGAUACUUUAUGAGGAGGAUUUGCCCGAAGUAGAGGUAUGCUUUGAGGUCAAUUGUAAUAUUGUUGCUAAGAAAAAGGGGAAAAUUUUAUGAACGUUACGUUCUAAGUUAAUUUUCCUGGUUUUUUGAACUCUAUUCUUAGUCCUUUCAAUGUGAUGAAUUUUCAAAGAUAAAUUUUCUCAGUAUUUUAUCUUGAAGAUAAGAAAUCCCCAGUUGUUG
This 659-nucleotide unclassified non-coding RNA is filed under the name Hevea brasiliensis (rubber tree). Lineage: Eukaryota; Viridiplantae; Streptophyta; Magnoliopsida; Malpighiales; Euphorbiaceae. The record is from RNAcentral.